UACGAAGGGGGCUAGCGUUGCUCGGAAUUACGGGGCGUAAAGGGUGCGUAGGCGGGUCUUUAAGUCAGGGGGGAAAUCCUGGAGCUCAACUCCAGAACUGCCUUUGAUACUGAGGAUCUUGAGUUCGGGAGAGGUGAGUGGAACUGCGAGUGUAGAGGUGAAAUUCGUAGAUAUUCGCAAGAACACCAGUGGCGAAGGCGGCUCACUGGCCCGAUACUGACGCUGAGGCACGAAAGCGUGGGGAGCAAACAGG
This 253-nucleotide ribosomal RNA is filed under the name uncultured bacterium. Its description in RNAcentral is "partial 16S ribosomal RNA". It matches the Rfam family "Bacterial small subunit ribosomal RNA", at positions 524 to 776 of the family's 1533-position model. The record is from RNAcentral.